GACGAACGCUGGCGGCGUGCUUAACACAUGCAAGUCGAACGGAAAGGCCCUGCUUUUGUGGGGUGCUCGAGUGGCGAACGGGUGAGUAACACGUGAGUAACCUGCCCUUGACUUUGGGAUAACUUCAGGAAACUGGGGCUAAUACCGGAUAGGAGCUCCUGCUGCAUGGUGGGGGUUGGAAAGUUUCGGCGGUUGGGGAUGGACUCGCGGCUUAUCAGCUUGUUGGUGGGGUAGUGGCUUACCAAGGCUUUGACGGGUAGCCGGCCUGAGAGUGUGACCGGCCACAUUGGGACUGAGAUACGGCCCAGACUCCUACGGGAGGCAGCAGUGGGGAAUAUUGCACAAUGGGCGGAAGCCUGAUGCAGCAACGCCGCGUGCGGGAUGACGGCCUUCGGGUUGUAAACCGCUUUCGCCUGUGACGAAGCGUGAGUGACGGUAAUGGGUAAAGAAGCACCGGCUAACUACGUGCCAGCAGCCGCGGUGAUACGUAGGGUGCGAGCGUUGUCCGGAUUUAUUGGGCGUAAAGGGCUCGUAGGUGGUUGAUCGCGUCGGAAGUGUAAUCUUGGGGCUUAACCCUGAGCGUGCUUUCGAUACGGGUUGACUUGAGGAAGGUAGGGGAGAAUGGAAUUCCUGGUGGAGCGGUGGAAUGCGCAGAUAUCAGGAGGAACACCAGUGGCGAAGGCGGUUCUCUGGGCCUUUCCUGACGCUGAGGAGCGAAAGCGUGGGGAGCGAACAGGCUUAGAUACCCUGGUAGUCCACGCUGUAAACGGUGGGUACUAGGUGUGGGGUCCAUUCCACGGGUUCCGUGCCGUAGCUAACGCUUUAAGUACCCCGCCUGGGGAGUACGGCCGCAAGGCUAAAACUCAAAGGAAUUGACGGGGCCCCGCACAAGCGGCGGAGCAUGCGGAUUAAUUCGAUGCAACGCGUAGAACCUUACCUGGGUUUGACAUGGAUCGGGAGUGCUCAGAGAUGGGUGUGCCUCUUUUGGGGUCGGUUCACAGGUGGUGCAUGCCUGUCGUCAGCUCGUGUCGUGAGAUGUUGGGUUAAGUCCCGCAACGAGCGCAACCCUUGUUCACUGUUGCCAGCACGUUAUGGUGGGGACUCAGUGGAGACCGCCGGGGUCAACUCGGAGGAAGGUGGGGAUGACGUCAAGUCAUCAUGCCCCUUAUGUCCAGGGCUUCACGCAUGCUACAAUGGCUGGUACAGAGAGUGGCGAGCCUGUGAGGGUGAGCGAAUCUCGGAAAGCCGGUCUCAGUUCGGAUUGGGGUCUGCAACUCGACCUCAUGAAGUCGGAGUCGCUAGUAAUCGCAGAUCAGCAACGCUGCGGUGAAUACGUUCCCGGGGCU
RNAcentral lists this ribosomal RNA (1346 nucleotides) under uncultured bacterium. RNAcentral's name for it is "partial 16S ribosomal RNA". It matches the Rfam family "Bacterial small subunit ribosomal RNA", at positions 28 to 1381 of the family's 1533-position model. The record is from RNAcentral.